GUAUCAGGAACUAGUUUGAAGCGAUCAUAAAAAAGCUAUUGAGUACAACUGGUAUCACUCAACAUCUAUUGAGCAUCUACUCUUUGGAAAGCACUUCAGGUGUUCAAAGAUGACAACAACACUGUCUUCCUAGUGAAGACCACUUAACACAACUAAAGCUCUAAAAACACACAGCAAUAAACAAGUGCCAAGUGGUGGACAUCAACAGAGAGUGUCGACAGAUGGAAAGCGAACAGUUUCACCACGGCCUUCCAGGAUGAGGGAAGCGUUGAGCUUUGACGGACAGUAGGUAUUUUUUGUGUGUGCUUGUUUGUUUUUCAUGGCUUUUAGGGUUUGGAUACUGAGAUUUUAAACUGAUAAUCAUAUUCCUUUCCUACUCAAGUUCAAAGCCAACUGAUAACUAGCUGCUGUUAUCAGAGAGAAGCAUACGUUUUUAAUAGAGCUUUAUUGCAGAGAUUAAAUUACAAAAUGCCACUUGGCCUCUUGCCACCUGAUAUCCCCUUAUGUAAAUGUAGCACUCAGCUCUGGCAGGUUUGAACACCGGCGGGCUUCCCUACUGCGUCCCAGGUGGCUGCUAGUGGUAAAGAACCCACCUGCCAAAUGCAGGAGACUUGAGAUUCACGGGUUCAAUCCCUGGCUGGGGAAGAUCCCCUGGAGGAAGAAAUGACAACCCGCUCUAGGACUCUUGAGUGGACAUGAUUGAAGUGACUUCGCACACAUGCAUACAGGGAGGAGCGAGCAAAUCCCACCAAGAGAGGCCAGGAGGGCUUACUCUACAGAAAUAAGUCUUCUCACGGAAUCGGAAGUCCUGACAUCGAGGUUCCUUGCUAGCAUGAGGAUGAGGUGGACUUUAAGGAUCUGUUUUGGAAGGCACAAAGAGAACCACGACUGUUUCUUUCUCUCUGCCUUCCUAUUAUCACAAUUCUAAUCCUCCUGAAGGGACAGCUCUGACACUCAUCAGGAAAUGGUCGCACACUAUAAAGAGAAGAAAAGAAGAACACAGAGAUCGACAUUUCCAGCUACCAUCACAGCAUGUUCACUCCCUUAUUUAAUUUCCCUUUUUCUUAAGCCCCUUCUGUUGAGAGAAGACUCCUUUACUGAUAUUCCUCCCAAUAAUAUUUAUGAGCUUAGGAAGGCACCAGUGGUUCUCUCCAAAGUACAAGAGAAAUGACCAGAGUCAUGGGGAUUAUUUAGGACCCUUGAGGUUCUCAGCCUCAGACUGCUACUACAAGGAUCCCUGAAAAGAAAAUAGAGACAUUUUUACUAGCAUCUAAGGAAUUGGGCCUCACCCAUAAUCUAUCUUAUUUAUCUAUGCAGUGACCCAAGGUGAGCACAGUUACUCCUGGGAGCCUGCCCACACAUGGAUCAAUCCAAAGUGUCCUGCCUCGCAAGCUUAGGGUUUAAAUCAAGCCACUUCCCCCAGAAUAUGCAACCUGAACGACUGUACCCUCCAUUUACUACCAUGAGAACGUCUUCUUGUGAUGAGCCCAAAACCCUGUGGACUUAGCCUUCCCAAAGGGUAUGGCCCCAAGAGAGGAAAUGGAAAACGUGUUCCCUGUUUCACUUACUGUUGCUGUUGCCCUGUGUCGUCUGGACAACAGGUGGUCCAGAAACCUGUUGGAGGGACCGAGGUAGCACGCUGCUCUCACAGGCGUGGCAGUGUUGGUUCAGGCUGCAGGAGCACGGAGCUUUUCCCCACAGACGCUGCAGUCAGCUAGUAACCAGGCCUGAGAGCCCUACAGCAGGCAUGGGCUUGGCACCAUCAUAUGCCAUGAAAGCAAAUGCCAAGAGCGUUCUCCACGCAACUGCAGUAACUUCCCUACAUUCAAACCUUCAUGUUGCAAGCUCUCAAAGAUGUGAGCAUGUAAGUGAAAAUUCAGCUUGUACCCCAUCUCCUGCUGCCGAUGGUCCUUUGGCUCUGCCGUCUCUCACCCCCUCUCCUGCCUCCAGUCUGUAAGGCUUCUUGCCGGCUCAGUCAGUGCCAGCCCCUGUAUGCCAGCUACUGUAGUUUCAAGGUACUACUGUAAGA
Molecule: long non-coding RNA, 2029 nt
Organism: Bos taurus (domestic cattle)
Lineage: Eukaryota; Metazoa; Chordata; Mammalia; Artiodactyla; Bovidae
Source: Ensembl